AGUGAACGCUGGCGGUAGGCCUAACACAUGCAAGUCGAACGGCAGCACAGUAAGAGCUUGCUCUUACGGGUGGCGAGUGGCGGACGGGUGAGGAAUACAUCGGAAUCUACUUUUUCGUGGGGGAUAACGUAGGGAAACUUACGCUAAUACCGCAUACGACCUACGGGUGAAAGCAGGGGAUCUUCGGACCUUGCGCGAUUGAAUGAGCCGAUGUCGGAUUAGCUAGUUGGCGGGGUAAAGGCCCACCAAGGCGACGAUCCGUAGCUGGUCUGAGAGGAUGAUUGGCCACACUGGAACUGAGACACGGUCCAGACUCCUACGGGAGGCAGCAGUGGGGAAUCUUGGACAAUGGGCGCAAGCCUGAUCCAGCCAUACCGCGUGGGUGAAGAAGGCCUUCGGGUUGUAAAGCCCUUUUGUUGGGAAAGAAAAGCAGCAGGUUAAUACCCCGCUGUUCUGACGGUACCCAAAGAAUAAGCACCGGCUAACUUCGUG
Molecule: ribosomal RNA, 492 nt
Filed under: uncultured bacterium
Lineage: Bacteria
Description: partial 16S ribosomal RNA
Rfam family: Bacterial small subunit ribosomal RNA
Source: RNAcentral